UAAUACAGAGGGUGCAAGCGUUGUUCGGAAUUAUUGGGCGUAAAGCGCGUGUAGGCGGCUUUGCAAGUCAGAUGUGAAAGCCCUCGGCUUAACCGAGGAAGUGCGUCUGAAACUGCAGAGCUUGAGUGUCGGAGAGGAUGGCGGAAUUCCGCAAGUAGAGGUGAAAUUCGUAGAUAUGCGGAGGAACACCGGUGGCGAAGGCGGCCAUCUGGACGACGACUGACGCUGAGACGCGAAAGCGUGGGGAGCAAACAGG
RNAcentral lists this ribosomal RNA (256 nucleotides) under uncultured bacterium. RNAcentral describes it as "partial 16S ribosomal RNA". It matches the Rfam family "Bacterial small subunit ribosomal RNA", at positions 521 to 776 of the family's 1533-position model. The record is from RNAcentral.